UUGAAGACGACGACGUUGAUAGGUCGGGUGUGUAAGCGCAGCGAUGCGUUGAGCUAACCGAUACUAAUGAACCGUGAGGCUUAACCUUACAACGCCGAAGGUGUUU
This 106-nucleotide ribosomal RNA is filed under the name Enterobacter cloacae. RNAcentral describes it as "partial 23S ribosomal RNA". The stretch from base 1 to 88 matches the Rfam family "Bacterial large subunit ribosomal RNA", at positions 2838 to 2925 of the family's 2925-position model. The record is from RNAcentral. Lineage: Bacteria; Pseudomonadati; Pseudomonadota; Gammaproteobacteria; Enterobacterales; Enterobacteriaceae.